UGCAGCCAUUUGCCUGCAUGCUGCCAUCACGGGGAUCUCCUUCCUAACCCUAAAUCAGGCUUCCCACUGUCCACAUGAGACAGUGUGCCCCCUCGUGUUUGCUGCCAUGGGCUUUCCUUAAUCUUCCCCAUUGAGCAAGAUUAUCAGGCAACUUGCAGACAUGUGGCCCCAGGGCUGCUACUGUGCCGAGGGGUGUGCUGGCAGCGCUGCUACAGGCCUGGUGCCACAGCAGCUGCAAUGAUGCGAUCAUGGGCCAGCACGCGAGUAUCCGGGCGCGGAGCGCAUGGUGCUGCAUAUUGC
RNAcentral lists this non-coding RNA (300 nucleotides) under Dunaliella sp. YS1. Lineage: Eukaryota; Viridiplantae; Chlorophyta; Chlorophyceae; Chlamydomonadales; Dunaliellaceae. The record is from RNAcentral.